GCCUAGCUGGUCUAACGGUCAUGAAACCGCUCACAUAAAGCGGAGGUUCUCAGUUCGAAUCUGAGGCUGGGCG
Molecule: non-coding RNA, 73 nt
Organism: Oleoguttula sp. CCFEE 5521
Lineage: Eukaryota; Fungi; Ascomycota; Dothideomycetes; Mycosphaerellales; Teratosphaeriaceae
Source: the annotation of a GenBank genome assembly